This 583-nucleotide small RNA is filed under the name Pan troglodytes (chimpanzee). Its description in RNAcentral is "processed transcript". The record is from RNAcentral. Lineage: Eukaryota; Metazoa; Chordata; Mammalia; Primates; Hominidae.
UUAGAGUAUCAAUGUCCAAAUGGAUGAAAAUACACUCCAUGAAAUUCUAAAUGAAGUUGAUUUGAAUAAAAAUGGACAGGUUGAACUCAAUGAAUUUUUGCAGCUGAUGAGUGCUAUUCAAAAAGGAAGGGUAUCUGGAAGCCGACUUGCUAUACUAAUGAAAACUGCAGAAGAGAACCUCGACAGAAGAGUUCCAAUUCCAGUGGACCGUAGUUGUGGAGGAUUGUGAGUCUGGGCAGUAAAUCCACAGCCAACAAACAUAGAAACGACAAAUCACCAUGUAACAACCAGAGAUGACUGAAACCACUCUAAAAUAAUGAAUGUGGAUAGCUGCCUUUUUUAACACUAGAAAACAUUCCAAAACUUUAAGGUGUUGGUUUAUUUGCCAGCUUUAUUUGCUGUACUUUAUUUGUAUUUGCCAUUCAGUCUAGCUUUUAAGUAUAUUUUUUCUUUUUCUCAUUUUCAAUGCACAUUAGUUUUGCAUCUGUUUUGUGACCUGUUAGAUGUGACACAUUCUCUUUUUGUUUAUUCCCUUAUUCUAAAUGAGUUCUAAAAACAGAAUAUUUUGGCAAAAAUUGAAAAA